Molecule: ribosomal RNA, 497 nt
Filed under: uncultured bacterium
Lineage: Bacteria
Description: partial 16S ribosomal RNA
Rfam family: Bacterial small subunit ribosomal RNA
Source: RNAcentral
GAUGAACGCUGGCGGCGUGCCUAAUACAUGCAAGUCGAGCGAACGGACGAGAAGUUUGUUUCUCUGAUGUUAGCGGCGGACGGGUGAGUAACACGUGGAUAACCUACCUAUAAGACUGGGAUAACUUCGGGAAACCGGAGCUAAUACCGGAUAAUAUUUUGAACCGCAUGGUUCAAAAGUGAAAGACGGUCUUGCUGUCACUUAUAGCUGGAUCCGCGCUGCAUUAGCUAGUUGGUAAGGUAACGGCUUACCAAGGCAACGAUGCAUAGCCGACGUGAGAGGGUGAUCGGCCACACUGGAACUGAGACGCGGUCCAGACUCCUACGGGAGGCAGCAGUAGGGAAUCUUACGCAAUGGGCGAAAGCCUGACGGAGCAACGCCGCGUGAGUGAUGAAGGUCUUCGGAUCGUAAAACUCUGUUAUUAGGGAAGAACAUAUGUGUAAGUAACUGUGCACAUCUUGACGGUACCUAAUCAGAAAGCCACGGCUAACUACGUG